GACGAACGCUGGCGGCGUGCUUAACACAUGCAAGUCGAACGGAAAGGCCCUGCUUGCAGGGUACUCGAGUGGCGAACGGGUGAGUAACACGUGGGUGAUCUGCCCUGCACUUCGGGAUAAGCCUGGGAAACUGGGUCUAAUACCGGAUAGGAGCCAUUUUUAGUGUGAUGGUUGGAAAGUUUUUUCGGUGUAGGAUGAGCUCGCGGCCUAUCAGCUUGUUGGUGGGGUAAUGGCCUACCAAGGCGGCGACGGGUAGCCGGCCUGAGAGGGUGGACGGCCACAUUGGGACUGAGAUACGGCCCAGACUCCUACGGGAGGCAGCAGUGGGGAAUAUUGCACAAUGGGCGCAAGCCUGAUGCAGCGACGCCGCGUGGGGGACGACGGCCUUCGGGUUGUAAACUCCUUUCGCUAGGGACGAAGCUUUUGUGACGGUACCUAGAUAAGAAGCACCGGCUAACUACGUGCCAGCAGCCGCGGUAAUACGUAGGGUGCGAGCGUUGUCCGGAAUUACUGGGCGUAAAGGGCUCGUAGGUGGUUUGUCGCGUCGUCUGUGAAAUUCCGGGGCUUAACUCCGGGCGUGCAGGCGAUACGGGCAUAACUUGAGUACUGUAGGGGUAACUGGAAUUCCUGGUGUAGCGGUGAAAUGCGCAGAUAUCAGGAGGAACACCGAUGGCGAAGGCAGGUUACUGGGCAGUUACUGACGCUGAGGAGCGAAAG
RNAcentral lists this ribosomal RNA (717 nucleotides) under uncultured Actinomycetales bacterium. RNAcentral's name for it is "bacterial SSU rRNA". It matches the Rfam family "Bacterial small subunit ribosomal RNA", at positions 28 to 759 of the family's 1533-position model. Lineage: Bacteria; Bacillati; Actinomycetota; Actinomycetes; Actinomycetales. The record is from RNAcentral.